CCUCGCGCCGUGGGACGGCGUCGCUCCCCGCCGGCUGCCGUUAGGGCUGGGAGCCGGCUGGGCGCGGGGGUAGUGAGGGUGCCUCUCGCCGUGGCUGCGCGGCGGCCUCGUCCGAGAGGCCGGCGCCGGGGCAGUGACCGGCCCGUGCCCAGCCGCCGCGCAGGGCGCCCGGGGCAGCUGGCCGAGCCCUCGAUGCCUCCCGUCUGACGGAGGCGCCCGGGAAGCGCCGCCCACCUCGGCCCCGCACCCUCGCCGGCCUGCCGGGUCUCCGCCAGCCCUAGCAGACAGAGAGGGGCGCCGGUCCCUAGUCCCCCAGACCUCCAUUCAAGGUCAAAACUUUGCCCAGCUCAGCCUUGCUCGACCCUGGGCAGGGAAGCGCGGACAUCGGCAGAGGGAGCCCGAGGCUCUCCGUGCCCUUCGCGCCGGUCAAGAACUGUGGAAUCUUUCAGAUGAUAUUCUGAUACUUCUGGACCAAGAUUGAAUUUGUUCUUCAUGAAAAAUGUCUGGGACCUUUUAUACAAGGUCUCACCCUGUUGCCCAGGCUGGAGCCCAGUGGCGCGAUCACAGCUCACUACGGCCUUGACUUGUGCUCAGGCGAUCCUCCCACCUCAGCCUCCUGAGUACCCGGGAUUACAGGCGUGUGCCACCACAUGCAGCUAAUGUAAAACAUUUUUAUUCUGUAGAGACAGGAUCUCACUAUGUUGCCCAGGCUAGUCAGACAAGUCUCGAACUCCUGGGCUCAGGCAGUCUUCUGCCUCAGCCUCCCAAAGUGCUGGGAUUACAGGUGUAAGCCAUGGCAUCUGACCCGAAGAUAAAUGUACUUGUCCUGUACUUUGUCAGAAUGUUCCUAAAUAGAAUAGGUAAAAGCCUGAGACCCCUUCUGAUUGAAAAGAUUAAAAAGUUAAGUCACCUUGUUCUGUUGCAUAUAUUAAAAAUUAAUUGUUGUAACAAUGGAAACAAUUGUGUUUCAUUAGGAGGUAUUUCUGUGAGCAUUAAUAGGGAAUGUUUUUCCUUUGCAUCAGAGCUUUUCCAGAAUGCAUUUCUCUUGUAAAUAGCUUGUAAUUUAUUUUUCAAGUUUUCAUACUUAACAGUGAAUAUGCUAUUGGGGUGAGAGAUGUGAUGGUAAACUUAUCAAUGACGGCCCAUUAAAAAGCAAACCAAAUUCUAGAGAAAGCUCAUUUAUUCAUACCUCAAAUAUUUGUCAUGUAACUAUGUGUCAGGCACUGUGCUGGGGAGUAAAGACUGAAUAAUCAAUAAGACACAAUCCUGAAGGGACUUAACACAG
RNAcentral lists this long non-coding RNA (1285 nucleotides) under Homo sapiens (human). RNAcentral's name for it is "HSALNT0385618". Lineage: Eukaryota; Metazoa; Chordata; Mammalia; Primates; Hominidae. The record is from RNAcentral.